This 253-nucleotide ribosomal RNA is filed under the name uncultured bacterium. Its description in RNAcentral is "partial 16S ribosomal RNA". It matches the Rfam family "Bacterial small subunit ribosomal RNA", at positions 524 to 776 of the family's 1533-position model. The record is from RNAcentral.
GACGAACCGUGCGAACGUUGUUCGGAAUCACUGGGCUUAAAGGGCGCGUAGGCGGGUCAGCAAGUCCGGGGUGAAAUCUUUCGGCUCAACCGGAAAAGUGCCUCGGAUACUGCUGGGCUUGAGGGAGGUAGGGGUUUGUGGAACUUCUGGUGGAGCGGUGAAAUGCGUUGAUAUCAGAAGGAACGCCGGUGGCGAAAGCGACGAACUGGACCUCUUCUGACGCUGAGGCGCGAAAGCUAGGGGAGCAAACGGG